UUAAGUUAUUAAGGGCGCACGGUGGAUGCCUUGGCACUAGAAGCCGAUGAAGGACGUUACUAACGACGAUAUGCUUUGGGGAGCUGUAAGUAAGCUUUGAUCCAGAGAUUUCCGAAUGGGGAAACCCAGCAUGAGUUAUGUCAUGUUAUCGAUAUGUGAAUACAUAGCAUAUCAGAAGGCACACCCGGAGAACUGAAACAUCUUAGUACCCGGAGGAAGAGAAAGAAAAUUCGAUUCCCUUAGUAGCGGCGAGCGAAACGGGAAGAGCCCAAACCAACAAGCUUGCUUGUUGGGGUUGUAGGACACUCUAUACGGAGUUACAAAGGACGACAUUAGACGAAUCAUCUGGAAAGAUGAAUCAAAGAAGGUAAUAAUCCUGUAGUCGAAAAUGUUGUCUCUCUUGAGUGGAUCCUGAGUACGACGGAGCACGUGAAAUUCCGUCGGAAUCUGGGAGGACCAUCUCCUAAGGCUAAAUACUCUCUAGUGACCGAUAGUGAACCAGUACCGUGAGGGAAAGGUGAAAAGCACCCCGGAAGGGGAGUGAAAUAGAACCUGAAACCGUGUGCUUACAAGUAGUCAGAGCCCGUUAAUGGGUGAUGGCGUGCCUUUUGUAGAAUGAACCGGCGAGUUACGAUUUGAUGCAAGGUUAAGCAGUAAAUGUGGAGCCGUAGCGAAAGCGAGUCUGAAUAGGGCGUUUAGUAUUUGGUCGUAGACCCGAAACCAGGUGAUCUACCCUUGGUCAGGUUGAAGUUCAGGUAACACUGAAUGGAGGACCGAACCGACUUACGUUGAAAAGUGAGCGGAUGAACUGAGGGUAGCGGAGAAAUUCCAAUCGAACCUGGAGAUAGCUGGUUCUCUCCGAAAUAGCUUUAGGGCUAGCCUCAAGUGAUGAUUAUUGGAGGUAGAGCACUGUUUGGACGAGGGGCCCCUCUCGGGUUACCGAAUUCAGACAAACUCCGAAUGCCAAUUAAUUUAACUUGGGAGUCAGAACAUGGGUGAUAAGGUCCGUGUUCGAAAGGGAAACAGCCCAGACCACCAGCUAAGGUCCCAAAAUAUAUGUUAAGUGGAAAAGGAUGUGGCGUUGCCCAGACAACUAGGAUGUUGGCUUAGAAGCAGCCAUCAUUUAAAGAGUGCGUAAUAGCUCACUAGUCGAGUGACACUGCGCCGAAAAUGUACCGGGGCUAAACAUAUUACCGAAGCUGUGGAUUGUCCUUUGGACAAUGGUAGGAGAGCGUUCUAAGGGCGUUGAAGCAUGAUCGUAAGGACAUGUGGAGCGCUUAGAAGUGAGAAUGCCGGUGUGAGUAGCGAAAGACGGGUGAGAAUCCCGUCCACCGAUUGACUAAGGUUUCCAGAGGAAGGCUCGUCCGCUCUGGGUUAGUCGGGUCCUAAGCUGAGGCCGACAGGCGUAGGCGAUGGAUAACAGGUUGAUAUUCCUGUACCACCUAUAAUCGUUUUAAUCGAUGGGGGGACGCAGUAGGAUAGGCGAAGCGUGCGAUUGGAUUGCACGUCUAAGCAGUAAGGCUGAGUAUUAGGCAAAUCCGGUACUCGUUAAGGCUGAGCUGUGAUGGGGAGAAGACAUUGUGUCUUCGAGUCGUUGAUUUCACACUGCCGAGAAAAGCCUCUAGAUAGAAAAUAGGUGCCCGUACCGCAAACCGACACAGGUAGUCAAGAUGAGAAUUCUAAGGUGAGCGAGCGAACUCUCGUUAAGGAACUCGGCAAAAUGACCCCGUAACUUCGGGAGAAGGGGUGCUCUUUAGGGUUAACGCCCAGAAGAGCCGCAGUGAAUAGGCCCAAGCGACUGUUUAUCAAAAACACAGGUCUCUGCUAAACCGUAAGGUGAUGUAUAGGGGCUGACGCCUGCCCGGUGCUGGAAGGUUAAGAGGAGUGGUUAGCUUCUGCGAAGCUACGAAUCGAAGCCCCAGUAAACGGCGGCCGUAACUAUAACGGUCCUAAGGUAGCGAAAUUCCUUGUCGGGUAAGUUCCGACCCGCACGAAAGGCGUAACGAUUUGGGCACUGUCUCAACGAGAGACUCGGUGAAAUCAUAGUACCUGUGAAGAUGCAGGUUACCCGCGACAGGACGGAAAGACCCCGUGGAGCUUUACUGUAGCCUGAUAUUGAAAUUCGGCACAGCUUGUACAGGAUAGGUAGGAGCCUUUGAAACGUGAGCGCUAGCUUACGUGGAGGCGCUGGUGGGAUACUACCCUAGCUGUGUUGGCUUUCUAACCCGCACCACUUAUCGUGGUGGGAGACAGUGUCAGGCGGGCAGUUUGACUGGGGCGGUCGCCUCCUAAAAGGUAACGGAGGCGCUCAAAGGUUCCCUCAGAAUGGUUGGAAAUCAUUCAUAGAGUGUAAAGGCAUAAGGGAGCUUGACUGCGAGACCUACAAGUCGAGCAGGGUCGAAAGACGGACUUAGUGAUCCGGUGGUUCCGCAUGGAAGGGCCAUCGCUCAACGGAUAAAAGCUACCCCGGGGAUAACAGGCUUAUCUCCCCCAAGAGUUCACAUCGACGGGGAGGUUUGGCACCUCGAUGUCGGCUCA
Molecule: ribosomal RNA, 2538 nt
Filed under: Staphylococcus aureus M0289
Lineage: Bacteria; Bacillati; Bacillota; Bacilli; Caryophanales; Staphylococcaceae
Description: bacterial LSU rRNA
Rfam family: Bacterial large subunit ribosomal RNA
Source: RNAcentral